This 632-nucleotide ribosomal RNA is filed under the name Vibrio sp. UST020129-038. RNAcentral's name for it is "bacterial SSU rRNA". It matches the Rfam family "Bacterial small subunit ribosomal RNA", at positions 401 to 1023 of the family's 1533-position model. Lineage: Bacteria; Pseudomonadati; Pseudomonadota; Gammaproteobacteria; Vibrionales; Vibrionaceae. The record is from RNAcentral.
GUGUGUGAAGAAGGCCUUCGGGUUGUAAAGCACUUUCAGCAGUGAGGAAGGCGUGGUGNUUAAUACCCAUCACGUUUGACGUUAGCUGCAGAAGAAGCACCGGCUAACUCCGUGCCAGCAGCCGCGGUAAUACGGAGGGUGCCGAGCGUUAAUCGGAAUUACUGGGCGUAAAGCGCAUGCAGGCGGUUUGUUAAGCAAGAUGUGAAAGCCCCGGGCUCAACCUGGGAACCGCAUUUUGAACUGGCAGGCUAGAGUCUUGUAGAGGGGGGUAGAAUUUCAGGUGUAGCGGUGAAAUGCGUAGAGAUCUGAAGGAAUACCGGUGGCGAAGGCGGCCCCCUGGACAAAGACUGACGCUCAGAUGCGAAAGCGUGGGGAGCAAACAGGAUUAGAUACCCUGGUAGUCCACGCUGUAAACGAUGUCUACUUGGAGGUUGCGGUCUUGAACUGUGGCUUUCGGAGCUAACGCGUUAAGUAGACCGCCUGGGGAGUACGGUCGCAAGAUUAAAACUCAAAUGAAUUGACGGGGGCCCGCACAAGCGGUGGAGCAUGUGGUUUAAUUCGAUGCAACGCGAAGAACCUUACCUACUCUUGACAUCCACAGAAGCCGGANGANAUUCUGGUGUGCUUCGGGA